GCUAGCAUGGUGUAGUGGUUUGAGCACUGGACUAUGAUUCUGGAGACCAGGGUUCGAAUCCCCACUUGGUCAUG
Molecule: transfer RNA, 74 nt
Filed under: Phrynosoma platyrhinos (Desert horned lizard)
Lineage: Eukaryota; Metazoa; Chordata; Lepidosauria; Squamata; Phrynosomatidae
Description: tRNA-OTHER
Source: RNAcentral